This 489-nucleotide ribosomal RNA is filed under the name uncultured soil bacterium. RNAcentral's name for it is "bacterial SSU rRNA". It matches the Rfam family "Bacterial small subunit ribosomal RNA", at positions 27 to 517 of the family's 1533-position model. The record is from RNAcentral.
GGGACGAACGCUGGCGGCGUGCUUAACACAUGCAAGUCGAGCGGAAAGGCCUUUCGGGGUACUCGAGCGGCGAACGGGUGAGUAACACGUGAGUAAUCUGCCCAUCGCUUCAGGAUAGCCAUCGGAAACGGUGAUUAAUACUGGAUAUGACAUUCCUUCGCAUGUUGGGGUGUGGAAAGUUUUUUCGGCGGUGGAUGUGCUCGCGGCCUAUCAGCUUGUUGGUGGGGUAAUGGCCUACCAAGGCUUUGACGGGUAGCCGGCCUGAGAGGGUGACCGGCCACACUGGGACUGAGACACGGCCCAGACUCCUACGGGAGGCAGCAGUGGGGAAUAUUGGACAAUGGGCGGAAGCCUGAUCCAGCAACGCGCGUGAGGGAUGACGGCCUUCGGGUUGUAAACCUCUUUCAGCACGGACGAAGUUUUGUCUUUUUUGGUGUAGUGACGGUAUGUGCAGAAGAAGGACCGGCCAACGUACGUGCCAGCACGCCG